AAACAUCUUUUCUUGUUAGUUUUUGAAGUAUGGCCUGCCCGCUGACUUGAGUGUUGAAGGGCCGCGGUAUUUUGACCGUGCAAAGGUAGCAUAAUCAUUAGUUCUUUAAUUGUGAUCUGGAAUGAAUGGCUUGACGAGGCACAGGCUGUCUUAAUGUUGAAUGUUUUAUUGAAUUUGGUUUUUGAGUUAAAAUUCUUAGAUGUUUUUGUGGGACGAGAAGACCCUAUAGAGUUUGACAUUUGGUUUAUUUGUUUGUUUGUUGUUUGUUUAUUUUAUUGGUGAGUGGACUUUUUGUUUUGUUGGGGUGAUGGGAGGAAUAUAAUUAACUCCUCUUGAUUUUGGUUAUAUUGAUUUAUAUUUAUUUGAUCCAUUUAUUUUGAUUAUAAGAUUAAAUUACCUUA
RNAcentral lists this ribosomal RNA (401 nucleotides) under Coptotermes formosanus (Formosan subterranean termite). Its description in RNAcentral is "partial 16S ribosomal RNA". Lineage: Eukaryota; Metazoa; Arthropoda; Insecta; Blattodea; Rhinotermitidae. The record is from RNAcentral.